AACGAACGCUGGCGGCAUGCCUAACACAUGCAAGUCGAACGAGACCUUCGGGUCUAGUGGCGCACGGGUGCGUAACGCGUGGGAACCUGCCUUUAGGUUCGGAAUAACUCAGAGAAAUUUGAGCUAAUACCGGAUGAUGUCUUCGGACCAACGAUUUAUCGCCUUUAGAUGGGCCCGCGUUGGAUUAGCUAGUUGGUGGGGUAAAGGCCUACCAAGGCGACGAUCCAUAGCUGGUCUGAGAGGAUGAUCAGCCACACUGGGACUGAGACACGGCCCAGACUCCUACGGGAGGCAGCAGUGGGGAAUAUUGGACAAUGGGCGAAAGCCUGAUCCAGCAAUGCCGCGUGAGUGAUGAAGGCAUUAGGGUUGUAAAGCUCUUUUACCCGAGAUGAUAAUGACAGUAUCGGGAGAAUAAGCUCCGGCUAACUCCGUG
This 433-nucleotide ribosomal RNA is filed under the name uncultured bacterium. RNAcentral describes it as "partial 16S ribosomal RNA". It matches the Rfam family "Bacterial small subunit ribosomal RNA", at positions 29 to 507 of the family's 1533-position model. The record is from RNAcentral.